AAUGGCAUUUAUAGGGCAAAUGUAUUUUUACAUAUUUUAUUUUGAAGAAAAACUACUUCCAAAAGUUGUAUCUUGGUAGAACAUGAUUUUACAAAUUUUCUGGAAUUUGUUUGGACCAAUUUGGAGUUCAAACACAAAAGAUAUCAAAGAAAUGAGAAAAUCAGAAAAAGAAAAGGCCUAAAAGAAAGAAAGAAAAAGGGUAAACCGGAUGGGCCCGGCCAAAAUGGGCCGAACCGGCCUAGUCCGACCGCGCCCGACCGGCCCAGACCGCCCGGUCCGCGCGCGUGCGCCCGC
Molecule: long non-coding RNA, 294 nt
Filed under: Brachypodium distachyon (stiff brome)
Lineage: Eukaryota; Viridiplantae; Streptophyta; Magnoliopsida; Poales; Poaceae
Description: long non-coding RNA (BDIS_LNC003683)
Source: RNAcentral